RNAcentral lists this ribosomal RNA (564 nucleotides) under uncultured bacterium. RNAcentral describes it as "bacterial SSU rRNA". It matches the Rfam family "Bacterial small subunit ribosomal RNA", at positions 28 to 602 of the family's 1533-position model. The record is from RNAcentral.
UACGACGCUGGCGGCGUGCURACACAUGCGAGUCGAACGGACUUAGCGGAAAAGCUUGCUUUUCUGCGAAGGUUAGUGGCGAAAGGGUGAGUAACGCGUGGGCAACCUGCCUCACACAGUGGAAUAACAACGGGAAACCGUUGCUAAUACCGCAUGAUAUCAUUAAAUGGCAUCAUUUGAUGAUCAAAGGAGCAAUCCGGUGUGAGAUGGGCCCGCGUCCGAUUAGUUAGUUGGUGAGGUAAGAGCUCACCAAGACUGCGAUCGGUAGCCGGACUGAGAGGUCGAACGGCCAUAUUGGGACUGAGACACGGCCCAGACUCCUACGGGAGGCAGCAGUGGGGAAUAUUGCACAAUGGGCGCAAGCCUGAUGCAGCAACGCCGCGUGAAGGAAGAAGGUUUUCGGAUUGUAAACUUCUUUGAUCAGGGAAGAAAGAUGACAGUACCUGAAGAACAAGCCACGGCUAACUACGUGCCAGCAGCCGCGGUAAUACGUAGGUGGCGAGCGUUGUCCGGAAUUACUGGGUGUAAAGGGCGCUUAGGCGGGAAGAACCAAUUCAGAAUGUU